UGGGGAAUUUUCCGCAAUGGGCGCAAGCCUGACGGAGCAACGCCGCGUGAGUGACGAAGGCCCUAGGGUUGUAAAGCUCUUUCAGUGGUGACGAUGAUGACGGUAGCCACAGAAGAAGCCCCGGCUAACUCCGUGCCAGCAGCCGCGGUAAUACGGAGGGGGCAAGCGUUGUUCGGAAUUACUGGGCGUAAAGGGCGCGUAGGCGGUCUGUUGCGUCAGGUGUGAAAGCCCCGGGCUCAACCUGGGAGGUGCACUUGAUACGGGCGGACUGGAAUCCGGGAGAGGAUGGUGGAAUUCCCAGUGUAGAGGUGAAAUUCGUAGAUAUUGGGAAGAACACCGAUGGCGAAGGCAGCCAUCUGGCCCGGUAUUGACGCUGAGGCGCGAAAGCGUGGGGAGCAAACAGGAUUAGAUACCCCCGUAGUCC
This 424-nucleotide ribosomal RNA is filed under the name uncultured prokaryote. RNAcentral describes it as "bacterial SSU rRNA". It matches the Rfam family "Bacterial small subunit ribosomal RNA", at positions 355 to 796 of the family's 1533-position model. The record is from RNAcentral.